UACGGGGGGAGCAAGCGUUGUUCGGAUUUACUGGGCGUAAAGGGCGCGUAGGCGGCCACCGCAAGUCGACUGUGAAAUCUCCGGGCUUAACUCGGAAUGGUCAGGUGAUACUGCUUUGCUAGAGUGCAGAAGGGGCAAUCGGAAUUCUUGGUGUAGCGGUGAAAUGCGUAGAUAUCAAGAGGAACACCUGAGGUGAAGACGGGUUGCUGGGCUGACACUGACGCUGAGGCGCGAAAGCUAGGGGAGCAAACGGG
RNAcentral lists this ribosomal RNA (254 nucleotides) under uncultured bacterium. RNAcentral's name for it is "partial 16S ribosomal RNA". It matches the Rfam family "Bacterial small subunit ribosomal RNA", at positions 524 to 776 of the family's 1533-position model. The record is from RNAcentral.